Dermacentor andersoni is the source of this 585-nucleotide long non-coding RNA. RefSeq lists it as uncharacterized. The record is from RefSeq and is a predicted model, not a curated record. NCBI's taxonomy places the organism in Eukaryota, Metazoa, Arthropoda, Arachnida, Ixodida, Ixodidae.
CACAUUUUAACCCAAUCCGUGUUUCUCCUUCGGAAUGCCCGUAGAGUGCGAAUGCUUGCACUUUCGCCGAAAUGUUCUGACUACAAACGACUGCCACAAUAUGCGAGCCGAGGAAGACAUACCACUACCACUUGCCACCUGCCCCAGUGUAUUUGCCGAUCCUUGUGCAUUAUUCAUUCCUUUUUACCUUUUAUUUUUAAUGGGGGUGUACUCCAUUUUUUUUUCUUGCCAGGCUUUCUGUUCGCCGACAGCGGAUUCGAUGUCUGGGCCAUGAGUAACAGGGAGUCAAGGACCUACUCAAACAGCACGAAAUUUUCGCAGAGGGACCCUAAGUACUGGCAAUGGAGCUUCGACGAAUUAGGGCGCUACGACUUGGCCGCUUGCAUCGACCAUGUUCUUAAGGCCACGGGCGCCCCCAAACUGACAACAGUGGCACUCUCUCAAGGUGUAAUGGCGAACCUUGUGUUGCACUCUGUACGGCCAGAGUACAACAAGAAGGUAGACCUUCUCGUGGCGUAUGGUCCUGUCGGAAAUCUCACCCACAUCGGGCCUCCAACUUCGCUACUAAUACCGCAUGUCCCUUCU